Anser brachyrhynchus (Pink-footed goose) is the source of this 1202-nucleotide long non-coding RNA. Lineage: Eukaryota; Metazoa; Chordata; Aves; Anseriformes; Anatidae. The record is from Ensembl.
CUGGUGGCACCUGCUGCUUGUUGUAUUUAGGGCAGGUGCCCUGCCAAGGGGAGCAUUUAGUAGAUGUUUCUGGUGCUUUGGUGGUGACUGGACCUGGUACUCUUCUGGCAAACGUUCCUGAGAGAGGGUUUAAAGCAAAAGUCCAUGUUACCAAAAAAAAACAAAAAAAAACAAAACUGCUAAUAGAGAAGUUUUGUUAGAGUGAAAUAAUUGUGUUCCCAGUGGACAUCUUGGGCUUUAGCUGGUGAUGGAUGGCGUGAAGUCUGCAGCGAUAUGCCUGACUCAUCUAGGAGAGCUACAGCUGCUGCACACAUAUUGGGAACAGAUAGACAAGAAACCAGUGGAAGGUCAAAGAGGAAGAUUUUAAAGAGAGAACAGGCAUCACCUAGGAGAGCCCCAGGAGGAUCUGGACAGGAGACCCCAAGAUGGACUGCAGUGUCAGAGAUGGGAGACAUUGGGAUGCCUUUCCAGCAGCUGUUGGCUAGAAAUAGUCAGAGUGAAGCAUUGCCUCUGCAGUACAUCUUUCAUCUCACAGUUGACCAUCUGUGGAAAGGAUACGAAGUUUGUAAACAGCUCCAUCUUCAGGCAUCAUUCCCUUGUGCUAAAAAAGAAAAAGGCAACAACAGUAUCUGCCACAAGCUUUCGAAGACAUGUUAGCAUUUUAUCACGUAUAGCAAUUUUUAUCACUUAAACCAAUGUAAUGGUCUUGUUUAACCACUUGCCACAUACAUUAAGUUGAAGGAAAAUCACUGGUAUUGGACCACAGCAUCUAACAAAUGAAUUCUGGUAUGGAUCAGUGGCAGAGUAGAUGUAUGACAAGAUUACAUUUCCGUAUAUCUAGGUUAGACUGAAACUGCAUUGCAACCACUAGAAUGUCUUUCUGUCAGCAGACAGACCCCAAAGUGUUCAAGUUGAAUCAAUUUUUAAAAUGUAUGUGUGGCUAAACAAAAAUGAAUGAAGUGGGAAGGGCAGCACUGAGAAAACCUUAGCAUGUAGGAGAUGAAAUAUCUAAAAUCUUGGAGAGGGUGCAUCUCCCAGAAUCAGGCCUGCAGAAUGGCCUUUUGAAUGCCAUUCAGUGUGAGAAUGAAAGAUGUAAUUUUAUAUACUGACAGCAGUGUAAAUGAGGUGCUCCUGGGAUACUGAGGAGAGUAAUUCUGUUGUCCAAUGGUGAUUUUCUUUCCGGUGGCAGUGCCUGAGUAAAC